AUUUUCCAUUAAUACAGAAAAUGAACCUCUAAACGUUACAUCACUGACAGGCGGCGGUGUAUAUGUUUCCUAACUGUGGCUAAAGCUGCUGCUAGCUGGUUUACUCAUGAUCAGAGGCUGGUUCCUUUGAAUACAGUUGGAGAAUGGUAAAUUGACAAUGACUUAUAACGGUUAUCUAGCACGUAAACACUGUUUUAUAAAACACAGAAAGUGAACCUCUAAACGUUACAGCGCUGACAGAGAGUAUAUUUUUCCUAAAUGUGGCUAAAGCUGCUGCUAGGUGGUUUACUCUCCGAUCGGAGGCUGUUUAUUUUAUACACAGAUAGAGAAUGGUGAAUUUACAAUGAUUAGUAACAGCUAUCUAACACUUAAAUGCUGUUAUUAUUAAACUUACCUUUUAUUAUAUCCUUAAGAUUAUGAGAAUGCGGGAAGUUUUCAGCUUGGUUCCCAAGGCAAAAUCACACCGGAAGUAAAGAUACCCAGUUUUGAGUUAUGGCGGCCAUUGUCUGACGUCACUGUGAAAAGGGUCUAUUAAUCAGUGUGCUGAUUUUUAUACACUCUCUGCUGCUCAUUUCCAGUGUAGUGAAGUAAUGACAUAGUGUGACAUAGCCCCCAGCCCUUAGAUAACCCAGUACAGGCCUGCUAACUGACACUCAUUGUUUCUUUUAUUAGGAAAGAUUACAGUCUAAUAUCGUCUCACAUCUGCGCCCUCACAGAGUGUACUUUUAUUCAACUUGCUCGCCCUCUGCCACUGUGUGGUUGUGCAUGCCUGGACUAAAUGUCGCAUCCUGCAAAGAUCCCACAUCACUGCAUUCCCGCCAUGCAGCUCACAGUCCUGCAAUCCAAUCACAAGAAUCAAUACACCCCUGGUCCUUCAUGGACAAUGCCAACAGAUUCUUUUCUUUUUUUUUUUACUUAAAGAGUAUUAUAGAGGCGAUUCCAUGAACCCAUUACGAGUUGAAGGGUAGGUGUGGUACAAUCAAUACAGAUUCAGCACAUGCUUCCACUGUAGGAAGGGAAGAGGUUCAGGUAACACAACAGUGUUGUGAUUGUCACUUAAUACAAGAAUCUGGAACUUAUUCAUAAUUCAUCGUUUUUGUUUUUUCUUUCUUCUCCUCAAACAGCUGAAGUGUCUGGCUUCCAGUGAAUUAUUAUUCUCUGAUAAAUCUGGCUUUAAUAGAUGAAGGAUUUUCUCGAUUGCACCAUUGAAAGAGCCCGUUUAAAUACUAACUUCAGUACUUUUUUCUUGUAGCUAAUGUGAAUCCCUAUUUAACCAAGCAGCUGUGUUGA
This is a long non-coding RNA of Xiphophorus couchianus (Monterrey platyfish), 1290 nucleotides long. RefSeq lists it as uncharacterized. The record is from RefSeq and is a predicted model, not a curated record. The transcript has 3 exons. NCBI's taxonomy places the organism in Eukaryota, Metazoa, Chordata, Actinopteri, Cyprinodontiformes, Poeciliidae.